AAUAAACGCUGGCGGCGUGCCUAACACAUGCAAGUCGAGCGAGAAAGCUCCUUCGGGAGUUAGUAAAGCGGCGAACGGGUGAGCAACACGUGAGAAUCUACCCUUUAGUGAAGAAUACCCUCGAGAAAUCGAGGCUAAUACUGCAUACGUCCCUUCGGGGAGAAAGAUGGCCUCUUUGCUAUCGCUAAAGGAUGAGCUUGCGUACUAUUAGCUAGUUGGCGGGGUAAAGGCCCACCAAGGCAAUGAUGGUUAACCGGCCUGAGAGGGUGUACGGUCACACUGGAACUUAGACACGGUCCAGACUCCUACGGGAGGCAGCAGUGAGGAAUCUUGCGCAAUGGGCGAAAGCCUGACGCAGCGACGCCGCGUGGAGGAUGACGGUUUUCGGAUUGUAAACUCCUGUUAAGCGGGAAGAAAGCCUUGUUUCUAAUACAAGCAAGGUAUGACGGUACCGCUAGAGAAAGCACCGGCUAACUUCGUGCCAGCAGCCGCGGUAA
Molecule: ribosomal RNA, 497 nt
Filed under: uncultured bacterium
Lineage: Bacteria
Description: bacterial SSU rRNA
Rfam family: Bacterial small subunit ribosomal RNA
Source: RNAcentral